ACCACAAGCAGCAGGCAGGGGUGGCUUUGCUUCUAGCUGGUCUGUGAGGAGGUUGGUGUGCUGCCGGGCCUGGGAUGACUGACUCCUGAGACCGAAGGCUUCUCCUUGGGGAGCGCUUCAGCACUAAAUAAACCAGGCCACACAAUGUUUAGAAUCCACUCACCGAGCUGUGUAUACAUUUAGUUCAUGGCUCAAAAUUGCUCUGCUGAAGGUCCUAGUAGGGCCCUCCACCCUUGGAUGAAAAAAAUGACCUGGGAAGAUGGGAGUUACUGAUUGGAAAAGGAAAUACUCUCCAUUUAUUGAGCAAUGGGCGUACUUAGAGAAAUGACUAGAUCUGGGUUGGGCCGUGGGAAUGGAUGAUUGGGGUAAGGAAGAGAUGACUGGCACUGAGAAGGACACAGAACAGAGAGCUGGCUGGAAGGUCCAUCCGUGGAAUUGUGGGAAUUACAAAGAAAUAGGGCAGGAAAAGUGGGGAGGAAAGCUGCUAGGUCCCCUGCUGAAUCCUAAGACAAAAGGAGAGAGGACCGUGGCCAGACGGAGUACCAGCCACGUAGUCUUAUGUGACCCUCAAAGGACAGUGGUGUGGAAUGAGCCAUGAGGAGAAGAGGCACCUGAUGGCACACGAAGGAAGAUGCUGGAAAGAACUUCAGGGGAACAGUGCCCCCAGGAGAGCCAGGUGUCCUUUCCAGUGGUGUGGGAUGUUGCAUGGAGUCUCAGAAAUAUUCUGGGGCUUUUCUGAUGUGUUGGAAUAGUGUUACUGACUUCUCAUGAGUGGACUGCAGAAGCUAAGUGAUUUGCACUGUGCAGGUGUCCCUCCCAUCGGACUGCCCUUGAUUUCCCUGUCCUUCACUUGUCCCCCUGGAAGAGGUGAGAAACCAAGGAUAGUUAUUGAAGCCUAGAAAUGAACUCAUUUUUCUGAGACGCAAAGCAUGUUUGCAUCAUUUUAAUGUGUACUCCACACUAGUGACUGUGACCUCCCCUCUCAUUUUCCUGUCUUUCUUUAAAUGGAAAUGGCUCUGAUAUUAUUUCUCGAAUCCUGACUUCUUGAUCAUAGUUCGACAUCUGAUGCCAUCACAUCUUCUGGGAAGGCGUUCCCAAGUAUCGACAUGGUUUCCAGGAAGUUGCAAAGGCUGUACAGGGAGGUCCAUGCACCGUUCACCCAUUUUCCCCUAUGGCUGCACCUUGCCUUACCCCAGAGCAACAGUAAAUGGGCGACUGAGAUUGGGGACAUGUGGAUAUAGUUCCAUGUGAGCGUGUCACACAUGUGGCUUUCUGAAACCACCACCUCAAUCAAGACACAGAACUACUGUCAUGACAAAGAUCACUCUUGUCCUAACUCUUCACCCCCGCACCAUACAAAACACAUUUUGCAUCUCUGUCCUCACCCUUCCCUGCCCACCCCUGCACCACCAUCCCUGACUCCUGGCAACUGUGAGUAGAUUCUCUGUCUCUAUACUUCCGGCAUGUCAAGAAUGUUGUAUAAAUAGAAUCAUACCAUAUGUGAAGCUAUUAGCAUUUAAUGUAAUUAUUGCUAUGUUAGAGCUUAAAUCUGCAAUUUCGUUUUCAGUUUA
Molecule: long non-coding RNA, 1571 nt
Organism: Neogale vison (American mink)
Lineage: Eukaryota; Metazoa; Chordata; Mammalia; Carnivora; Mustelidae
Exons: 3
Source: RefSeq, a predicted model, not a curated record